This 253-nucleotide ribosomal RNA is filed under the name uncultured bacterium. RNAcentral's name for it is "partial 16S ribosomal RNA". It matches the Rfam family "Bacterial small subunit ribosomal RNA", at positions 524 to 776 of the family's 1533-position model. The record is from RNAcentral.
UACGGAGGUGGCAAGCGUUGCUCGGAAUCACUGGGCGUAAAGGGCGCGUAGGCGGGGAGGUAAGUCGGGUGUGAAAUCCCUCGGCCCAACUGAGGAACUGCGCCCGAGACUGCUUCUCUUGAGUCCCGGAGAGGAAGAUGGAAUUCCCGGUGUAGCGGUGAAAUGUGUAGAGAUCGGGAGGAACACCGGUGGCGAAGGCGGUCUUCUGGACGGUGACUGACGCUGAGGCGCGAAGGUCAGGGGAGCAAACGGG